Long non-coding RNA from Mustela erminea (ermine), 257 nucleotides. RefSeq lists it as uncharacterized. The transcript has 3 exons. The record is from RefSeq and is a predicted model, not a curated record. NCBI's taxonomy places the organism in Eukaryota, Metazoa, Chordata, Mammalia, Carnivora, Mustelidae.
UAAAAAUAACAUUAAAAAUAAAAUACCUAGGACUAAAUUUUACCAAGGAGCUGAAAGACCUUUACUCUGAAAACUAGAAAACACUGAUGAAAGAAAUUGAAGGUGACACAAACAAAUGGAAAUUCAUUCCAUGCUCAUGGACUGGGAGAACAAAAUUGCUAAAAUACCUAUUCUAUCCAAAGCAACCUUCAGAUUUAAUGCAAUCCCUAUCAAAAUACUAAAGCCAUUUUCACAGAAACAGAACAAAUAAUCCUAAA